UCUCCGUAGGUGAACCUGCGGAGGGAUCAUUACAGAGUUCAUGCCCUACCGGGUAGAUCUCCCACCCUAUGUUAUUAUUACUUUGUUGCUUUGGCGGGCCGUUAGGCCCCGGCCCGACUACCGGCCCCGGCUGGUAAGCGCCCGCCAGAGGACCCAAAACCCUGAAUAUUAGUGUCGUCUGAGUACUAUAUAAUAGUUAAAACUUUCAACAACGGAUCUCUUGGUUCUG
RNAcentral lists this unclassified non-coding RNA (229 nucleotides) under plant metagenome. RNAcentral describes it as "partial contains small subunit ribosomal RNA, internal transcribed spacer 1, and 5.8S ribosomal RNA". The record is from RNAcentral.